AGAGCGAACGCUGGCGGCAGGCCUAACACAUGCAAGUCGAGCGCCCGUAGCAAUACGGGAGCGGCAGACGGGAUAGUAACACGUGGGAACGCGCCCUUCGGUUCGGAAUAACUCAGGGAAACUUGAGCUAAUACCGGAUACGCCCUUACGGGGAAAGAUUUAUUGCCGAAGGAACGGCCCGCGUCCGAUUAGCUAGUUGGUGAGGUAAUGGCUCACCAAGGCGACGAUCGGUAGCUGGUCUGAGAGGAUGACCAGCAUCACUGGGACUGAGACACGGCCCAGACUCCUACGGGAGGCAGCAGUGGGGAAUAUUGGACAAUGGGCGCAAGCCUGAUUCAGCCAUGCCGCGUGGAUGAUGAAGGCCUUAGGGUUGUAAAGUCCUUUUAACGGGGAAGAUAAUGACGGUACCCGUAGAAUAAGCCCCGGCUAACUUCGUGCCAGCAGCCGC
RNAcentral lists this ribosomal RNA (448 nucleotides) under uncultured bacterium. RNAcentral's name for it is "SSU rRNA". It matches the Rfam family "Bacterial small subunit ribosomal RNA", at positions 26 to 518 of the family's 1533-position model. The record is from RNAcentral.